AGCAGCCGCGGUAAUUCCAGCUCCAAUAGCGUAUAUUAAAGUUGUUGCAGUUAAAAAGCUCGUAGUUGAAUUUCGGGGUUAGUAGGUUGGUCAUGCCUCUGGUAUGUACUGGUCUCACUGAUUCCUCCUUCCUGAUGAACCUUAAUGCCAUUUAUUUGGUGUUUUGGGGAAUUUGGACUGUUACUUUGAAAAAUUAGAGUGUUUAAAGCAAGCUAACGCUUGAAUACAUUAGCAUGGAAUAAUGAAAUAGGACGUUCGAUCCUAUUUUGUUGGUUUCUAGGAUUGACGUAAUGAUUAAUAGGGAUAGUUGGGGGCAUUAGUAUUCAGUUGUCAGAGGUGAAAUUCUUGGAUUUAUUGAAGACUAACUACUGCGAAAGCAUUUGCCAAGGAUGUUCUCAUUAAUCAAGAACGAAAGUUAGGGGAUCGAAGACGAUCAGAUACCGUCGUAGUCUUAACCAUAAACUAUGCCGACUAGGGAUCGGAUGAUGUUAAUUUUUAAUUGACUCAUUCGGCGCCUUAA
This 520-nucleotide ribosomal RNA is filed under the name uncultured Glomus. RNAcentral describes it as "SSU rRNA". It matches the Rfam family "Eukaryotic small subunit ribosomal RNA", at positions 569 to 1091 of the family's 1831-position model. The record is from RNAcentral. Lineage: Eukaryota; Fungi; Glomeromycota; Glomeromycetes; Glomerales; Glomeraceae.